ACACGAUAAAGGCACUCCCGGAGCAAUCCGGGUUCGCAAAGCCGACAGUCCCGCCAGGUUUUUCACAGAACAUUAAAGCGGGGGGCUGGGCCGCCGAA
RNAcentral lists this non-coding RNA (98 nucleotides) under Elusimicrobiota bacterium. RNAcentral's name for it is "Elusimicrobia bacterium c-di-GMP sequence". It matches the Rfam family "c-di-GMP-I riboswitch aptamer". From Rfam's summary of the family: GEMM was predicted in a large-scale screen for bacterial structured RNA regulatory elements. The record is from RNAcentral. Lineage: Bacteria; Pseudomonadati; Elusimicrobiota.